This 645-nucleotide ribosomal RNA is filed under the name Lachnospiraceae bacterium RM2. RNAcentral's name for it is "bacterial SSU rRNA". It matches the Rfam family "Bacterial small subunit ribosomal RNA", at positions 77 to 740 of the family's 1533-position model. Lineage: Bacteria; Bacillati; Bacillota; Clostridia; Lachnospirales; Lachnospiraceae. The record is from RNAcentral.
GAGUCUUUGGAAUACUUAGUGGCGGACGGGUGAGUAACGCGUGGGUAACCUGCCUCACACAGGGGGAUAACAGUUGGAAACGACUGUUAAUACCGCAUAAGCGCACAGUACCGCAUGGUACAGUGUGAAAAACUCCGGUGGUGUGAGAUGGACCCGCGUCUGAUUAGCUAGUUGGUGAGGUAACGGCCCACCAAGGCGACGAUCAGUAGCCGGCCUGAGAGGGUGUACGGCCACAUUGGGACUGAGACACGGCCCAAACUCCUACGGGAGGCAGCAGUGGGGAAUAUUGCACAAUGGGGGAAACCCUGAUGCAGCGACGCCGCGUGAGUGAUGAAGUAUUUCGGUAUGUAAAGCUCUAUCAGCAGGGAAGAUAAUGACGGUACCUGACUAAGAAGCACCGGCUAAAUACGUGCCAGCAGCCGCGGUAAUACGUAUGGUGCAAGCGUUAUCCGGAUUUACUGGGUGUAAAGGGUGCGUAGGUGGCGUGGCAAGUCAGAAGUGAAAACUGCGGGCUCAACCCGGAGACUGCUUUUGAAACUGUCAAGCUGGAGUGCAGGAGAGGAAAGCGGAAUUCCUAGUGUAGCGGUGAAAUGCGUAGAUAUUAGGAGGAACACCAGUGGCGAAGGCGGCUUUCUGGACUGUUAC